UUUAAGGUUUUUGAGGAUGGGCUUUUUUGGGUUUUUACAUGCUUGUGUUUGUGGCUUCUUUUUGCUCUUCGGGUAGGGUUUUUUGUUUUUAUUUUUACUAGAUUUUGUCAAACUUGGGAAAUGAUGAAUGUAUGUAUGAUCUAUCUAUGUUUUGCUAAAGUUUGGAUUAUAACUUUAUGUUUCAACUCGUAGUCUAGUUACGUUGUUUAUCUUGCAUGUGAG
This 222-nucleotide long non-coding RNA is filed under the name Linum usitatissimum (flax). Its description in RNAcentral is "long non-coding RNA (LUSI_LNC003351)". The record is from RNAcentral. Lineage: Eukaryota; Viridiplantae; Streptophyta; Magnoliopsida; Malpighiales; Linaceae.